UUUCGACCUGAGCUCAGGCAAGGCUACCCGCUGAACUUAAGCAUAUCAAUAAGCCGGAAGGAAAGGAAUCAUUGAAUUAUUAAAACCACAAUGUGAACCUUAUUGUUCCGUGCCUUUGCUGCCAGCAAGGCAAUCAGCUUUGCCUGAUUGUACUUGCAAGCUGGUGCGAGUUUUAUACUUGCCUCAGUGGCGCUCUGGCAAGGUUAUACACCGGGGGGAACCCUGUGAAAACAAACCCGAAAGUUUUGUUUGGGGUAAAAUUGGGGGAUUUUAACACAAGAAAACCCACAAAACGAAAAUUUGGGGUCUCCCACCAUAAAAAAAACCACGAAAUGCGGUAACUUUUUGGGGGAUUGGGGCAAAAUCCCGGGACCACAAAAAUUUUAAUAACAAAUAUGGGCCGACCCCCCGGCCAAAAAAAAGUUUCGUCCACCCCGCGGGGUUAAACCCCCCCCCCCCCUUUGGGGGAAGAGGGGGGGGGUUUUUUUUUUGGCCUUUAAAAAAAGGAGAAGGACGGGUUUCCCACCUCGGGGGUUACCUUCUAAAAAAAGAGAGGGGGGAA
Molecule: ribosomal RNA, 562 nt
Filed under: Messastrum gracile
Lineage: Eukaryota; Viridiplantae; Chlorophyta; Chlorophyceae; Sphaeropleales; Selenastraceae
Description: partial 28S ribosomal RNA
Source: RNAcentral